ACGAUGAACCCCGCUUGCGGGGGGAUUAGUGGCGAACGGGUGAGUAACACGUGAGUAACCUGCCCUUAACUCUGGGAUAAGCCUUGGAAACGGGGUCUAAUACUGGAUAUUGACUUUUCCUCGCAUGGGGAUUGGUUGAAAGAUUUAUUGGUUUUGGAUGGACUCGCGGCCUAUCAGCUUGUUGGUGAGGUAAUGGCUCACCAAGGCGACGACGGGUAGCCGGCCUGAGAGGGUGACCGGCCACACUGGGACUGAGACACGGCCCAGACUCCUACGGGAGGCAGCAGUGGGGAAUAUUGCACAAUGGGCGAAAGCCUGAUGCAGCGACGCCGCGUGAGGGAUGACGGCCUUCGGGUUGUAAACCUCUUUCAGUAGGGAACAAGGCCAGUGUUUAGCUGGUUGAGGGUACUUGCAGAAGAAGCGCCGGCUAACUACGUGCCAGCAGCCGCGGUAAUACGUAGGGCGCAAGCGUUAUCCGGAAUUAUUGGGCGUAAAGAGCUCGUAGGCGGUUUGUCGCGUCUGCCGUGAAAGUCCGGGGCUCAACCCCGGAUCUGCGGUGGGUACGGGCAGACUAGAGUGAUGUAGGGGAGACUGGAAUUCCUGGUGUAGCGGUGAAAUGCGCAGAUAUCAGGAGGAACACCGAUGGCGAAGGCAGGUCUCUGGGCAUUAACUGACGCUGAGGAGCGAAAGCAUGGGGAGCGAACAGGAUUAGAUACCCUGGUAGUCCAUGCCGUAAACGUUUGGGCACUAGGUGUGGGGGACAUUCCACGUUUUCCGCGCCGUAGCUAACGCAUUAAGUGCCCCGCCUGGGGAGUACGGCCGCAAGGCUAAAACUCAAAGGAAUUUGACG
This 850-nucleotide ribosomal RNA is filed under the name Arthrobacter psychrolactophilus. RNAcentral describes it as "bacterial SSU rRNA". It matches the Rfam family "Bacterial small subunit ribosomal RNA", at positions 66 to 915 of the family's 1533-position model. Lineage: Bacteria; Bacillati; Actinomycetota; Actinomycetes; Micrococcales; Micrococcaceae. The record is from RNAcentral.